RNAcentral lists this long non-coding RNA (5546 nucleotides) under Brassica napus (rape). Its description in RNAcentral is "long non-coding RNA (BNAP_LNC006062)". Lineage: Eukaryota; Viridiplantae; Streptophyta; Magnoliopsida; Brassicales; Brassicaceae. The record is from RNAcentral.
GGCGGGUUAUCAUGCUCCCGAAGUUCUCGAGACACGGAAAGUAACUUUCAAAUCAGAUGUGUACAGUUUCGGGGUGUUGCUGCUUGAGCUCUUGACUGGUAAAUCACCAAACCAGGCAUCACUUGGCGAAGAAGGCAUUGAUCUACCUCGGUGGGUGCUUUCUGUGGUUAGAGAAGAAUGGACCGCUGAAGUAUUCGAUGUUGAGCUGAUGCGGUACCACAACAUAGAGGAAGAGAUGGUUCAGCUUCUUCAAAUCGCAAUGGCGUGUGUCUCUACGGUUCCUGAUCAACGGCCGGUAAUGCAGGAAGUGCUGAGAAUGAUUGAGGAUGUGAACAGAAGUGAAACAACCGAUGACGGGUUAAGACAAUCGUCUGAUGACCCGUCCAAAGGUUCAGAGGGUCAGACUCCUCCAGGGGAAUCAAGGACGCCACCACGUUCGGUCACGCCUUAGUGUAGCUGAGAACAGCUUUAGUUUGUGUGUUCACUUUCUCCUCAAAAGGAGAUAAAAGAAAAGUGUGUGAGGUCUUUGUUGGGUUACGGUAAAGCAAAAAGGCUGGACCAGUGUGGCAUUUGAACCAAGUUCUUAAAAGAUGGCAUCUCCCAUCUAUUUUUUUCUUUCAAAAAAAUACAUUUCUGAGAUAUUCUAGUAGUUACUUUUCCUUUUUUUUUUGUUAUUUGAAAUUUUGAAUAUUGUGUUUACAGGUUUCAAUCAAAAUUCAAUCUAAACAACGUUGCACUUUAUCCGAAUAUAAGUUACAUAACACUACGAAUUAGAGCUUUUUCAAAGCUCACUCUAUAUUUGUAGACCAAUAAAAAUUGAAACUUUAAUCUUCAGUUUAGUUUUAUAAUUUUAUUUGUGUUCAGGAUCAUUACUUUAAUGUAGUCUCCAUUAUCGUUUAUAUAUAAUCAUAUCACUUAAGAAAAAAUGAUAAUUUGGAAAUUGUACUUUAAACAUAUAUGUAUACUAUAUAUAAAAAGUGUGAAUUAAAGUGUACAUAUAUUGAGUGUUGCUGAAAUUUCAAUCAUAGUUGUGAACAAGAAGUAAAGCACAAUGAAACCAGGAAGCUAUUACUACUAAUCAAUUAUCGUCGUAGAACUAGAAAGCAAGAGAUCCCAAUUAUGAUGAAAAAUUAUAUCCAGUUCAACACAUCUCAUAUCUAUAAUAUUAUUUAUCUUAUUUGAGAAAUCAGUCAUGUCAAGCUAGUUUUUAAGGUGGUUAUUUUUAUUUUAUUUUUUUUGAUGAAAUGUUAAAUUUAUUGAUCAAUUUUGAAAAAGAUAUUAUGUACAUCUAUAAGGCUAUUACUAACUGAAACCUUGUUAAAGAAUCAACAAAUUUGGAAGACGUAUGAAAAAGUUAUAGAUCACUCCUUUCCAAGAGUUCCAAGUCCGUAGGUCACUCGUGGUGCGAAUGGGCUUCAAACCAUCUGCACAUAAUUCCUUUCAGCUUCGGCUUGAGAAAAUAAUGGGUAGAUGAUAACCUGUUCCGGACUGCCUUAUCAAUCAGCUUUGCUAGUUGCUCUACAGACUUCGCUCGGUUACUAUGUUUUCUAUCAUUUCGUUCUAUCCAGAUGAAGUAAACGGUAACCUGAAAGACAAGUCGCAGGAGUAUGAACGUGAGCCGGUCAUACGUUCCAUUCUGCAGACGCUCAAGCGUGGUGCCCCACUCCGGGUCGGGAUCGAUACCAAACAGAUUACCAACAACCUUCAGCCAGAGAGUAAAAGUAAAUGGGCAAGCAAAGAAGAGGUGGUCUCGCGUCUCGUCUGGCUCACCACAGUAAAGACAUCUUUGCGGUUGACCCCAUUGGCUUGUACGGUGGCCUGUCGAUAGUCUAUCACGAAUUGCAAGCCAGGUGAUGAAAGCAUAUCUCGUAACUCCUUGUGAGAACCAUACUAUCUUGCUCCACUGAACUCUACUUCUCGAACUUCUGAUUUGGUGCCAAGUUUCAGACGCACUGAACUUAUUGCCAAACUCAUCAUCUCUACGCUUCCAAGUUUAAGGUGGUUAUUUAUACGGAUCUUUUAAUGAAUUAAAAAUAUUUGAUCUAAUUAUUAAAAAUAUUUAUUUUAUGUCAUUUAGUAACUUCUCUUAAAUAAAAUUUUAAUUUAAUUUUAAUUUUUUACAAAUAAUAAAUAUAAUAAAAAGGUAACAUUUAGAAAAAAUAUAUUUUCUAUAAUAUGAUUUCAUGAAGAAUGAAAUUUCACAAAAAUAAUCUUGUCAUUAAGAAAGUAAAUAAUAUUUUUAAAACAUAAUAUUAAACAACAUAAUAUAUAUUUUCAAAGUAAUAAUCAUAUGUUCUUUAUAUCUAUCUAUUUUCAUAGACGGUUACAAAAACAAAUUAAUAUAAUAAACUGAGAUGUUGACUGAUUUUAAAUAAAAUUCUUCUUAAACUGAUUUUAAACAAGAUAACAUAUAUUAAAAAAGAAACUAAAAAUACCCUUUACCAUAAGUAUAUUUUGAUCAGUUUACUGCAAAAGUAUAUUUUUAAAUAGCAUGACUCUAGAUAUUUUCAAUGAACUAAGAAUACUAUACUUUCCCACUAUUAAAAAUAUUUUUUCUUAAUAUUUUCUUCUUCUUAAGUUUAGUUUUAUUUAUAUAUAUACAAUCCAAUAUAUCCAUAAUAAAAGAACCUAUGCAAUCUACAUUCUUAUGUGUAAGGCAAAAAUUACUUACAGUUAUAAAAUAUUUUAGUUAUUGUAAAUAUCGAUAUGCAUUCAUGAGCUUUCAAAAAAAUAUUAGUAUUUUUCUUUAAAAAACUUUUUACUGAUCAUUGGUUUAUUUUAUUAAUAUUUUGGAAAAUCAAAAUAUAUCAAAUUAUUAAAAAUAUUAUAGAAAUAUACUUACAUAUUUAAGAUGAAGAACUGAACUAAAAGUGAUUAAUAAAACUAAUCCGAUUUGGCUUUAGUAGGAAUCAAAACAAUUAUAUUUCAAUUUGAAAGAAUAUAGGUAACUCAACAUUCCCACAAAACGAAUAGUUAGACUAAUCGAAUUGCUUAUAUCCAAAAUCAAAGAUCUAACUAAAAUAACAACAUAUCUUCAUGGUAAUAUUUUCUUUACUUUUAUACAUAUACAUUAUGGGAUGCCUUAAAACAUAUUACUAAAUAAAAAUAAAUUAUUAGCCGAUUUUCAAAUUUAGUUCUUUUGUAAAAUUUAUAUAUAUGUAUGUGAUUUUAAAAUAUUAUCAUUAUAUUUAUUUAUGUAAUUUUGAAUCAAUCAACCCUUUAAUUUAUUUUUCUAUUUGAUUUUCAAAAACAAAAAGUAUAUAUAUAUAUAUAUAUAUAUAUUAAGUUAUACAUAACCUUAAUAAAAUUUAUUUACAUAUCUAAUACAACAACCAACCUAAAUUCAAUUGACAAAAUUAAUCAAAUUUUUAAGGAGGAAUUUGCCAAAUGAAUUAGGACUUGAAUUUGAAUGCAAAGCUAUACCUACCUCAAAUCAAUCAAAUGCAAAAGUAGUAGUAAAAUUACAAUUAUCUCUCUUUAUGACAAAAGAAACUUGUAAACAUUUUACGAUAAUAGUCUUUGGAAGUCUUUAACGGCUCGAUUCCUUCUUCCUUGUCUAAAUUCCCCGCCGCGUCGUUCGCGGGGAACGUGAAUCUCUGCGGCGGUCCGUUGCGGCCGUGCAAAUCCUUCUUCAUAUCUCCGUCGCCCUCUCCGGAUGACGCUCCCUCUCCCUCGCGUCUCUCCGGGAAGAAAUCGAAGCUCUCCACGGCGGCGAUUAUCGCGAUCUCCUUCGCGAGCGCGUUGAUUGGUCUUCUCCUUUUAGCUCUCGUCUUCUUCCUCUGCUUGAGGAAACGACGACGAGGAGGGAGCAGAACGAAACAGACGAAGCCUGCGGAGACGACAACGCGAAACGUCCCCCCCGAGGGGAUUCCUCCGGCGGGGGGAGCUUCUUCGUCGUCUAAGGAUGUUACUACGGGGACGUCGUCGGGGAUGGGAGAGAGGAACAGGCUCGUUUUCACGGAGGGAGGAGUCUACAGUUUCGAUUUGGAGGAUUUGCUGAGAGCUUCGGCGGAGGUUUUGGGGAAAGGAAGCGUGGGGACGUCGUAUAAGGCGGUGUUGGAGGAAGGCACGACGGUGGUUGUUAAGCGUUUGAAAGACGUGGCGGCGUCGAAGAAGGAGUUUGAAUCGCAGAUGGAGGUUGUUGGCAAAACUAAACAUCCCAAUGUUGUUCCGUUGAGAGCUUAUUAUUACUCCAAAGAUGAGAAGCUUCUCGUCUUUGAUUUCAUGCCCAAUGGAAGCCUCUCUGCUCUUCUUCACGGUUAGUUUGUGUCUUAACAACGUUCCUUGCUCUGCUUUUGUUUAAUCCAAUUUAAAUUCAUCCGUAAUAUGCAUAUUUUAGUAAAUACAUUGUGUGAAUUUCUAACGAAUUCUACCCAGAUUGUGUUUUGUUUCUGUGAAUUUUUACUGCAUUGUAGUUAGAUUGUGUGAAUUUCUACUGAAUUGUAACUACAUUGUGUGUACGCUAUGUGGAUUUCUUGUUUGGUUUAGGUUUUUAUUUUUUCUCCUUAAAUUCAUAUAGUUAUUAUGGUCAAGAAAUGGAUACAUAGUUGCAGCUGUUUGAUGCUUAGAUUGAAAUAAAAGCUGAGUGAGUGAUGAUUGGAUUGUGUUAAUAUUUUUCUAAUGGAUACCUUCUGACAUGUUCUGUGUUUUAUGCUUUGCUGUCAAGAAAAAAAAAACAUUCUUAUUUCUCUGUAGUAAAAAAUUUCAUAGUAUUUUAAUUGUUAGUGUGGCAUAUAGCUGUAGUUGUUCUGCAAUUAUUAUUAAAAGAAAAAAAGGAAGCUGCCGACAUUACAUGCGUCUGUCUGGUAAUUGUCAUAAUAAUUCAUAAUUUUUGCUUCUCUCUCACUCUUUAAAGAUGACAUAGAAUUCAAAAAGAGAAAGACUCUUUUCUUCCACAUGGCCUCUUUAUCAUCAUCAUCAUAGCUUCACUCUUUUCCUUGAAGUGAACUUUUGUCUAAUUAGAGUAGUUUGAGAUCACAUUAACUGAAACUGCAUUUUCAAUAUCUGCCUAACAUGCUCUUUGUUGUGUUCAGGGAGCCGUGGAUCGGGGCGAACUCCGUUAGACUGGGAUAACCGUAUGAGAAUAGCAAUAACUGCAGCGAGAGGUUUGGCCCAUCUUCAUGUUUCAGCCAAAUUAGUACAUGGAAACAUCAAAGCCUCAAACAUACUCCUACAACCAAACCAAGACACUUGCGUCUCUGACUAUGGACUUAAUCAACUGUUCAGUAACUCGACUCAACCAAACCGUUUGGCGGGUUAUCAUGCUCCCGAAGUUCUCGAGACACGGAAAGUAACUUUCAAAUCAGAUGUGUACAGUUUCGGGGUGUUGCUGCUUGAGCUCUUGACUGGUAAAUCACCAAACCAGGCAUCACUUGGCGAAGAAGGCAUUGAUCUACCUCGGUGGGUGCUUUCUGUGGUUAGAGAAGAAUGGACCGCUGAAGUAUUCGAUGUUGAGCUGAUGCGGUACCACAACAUAGAGGAAGAGAUGGUUCAGCUUCUUCAAAUCGCAAUGGCGUGUGUCUCUACGGUUCCUGAUCAACGGCCGG